This 428-nucleotide ribosomal RNA is filed under the name Janthinobacterium sp. FT14W. Its description in RNAcentral is "bacterial SSU rRNA". It matches the Rfam family "Bacterial small subunit ribosomal RNA", at positions 1009 to 1441 of the family's 1533-position model. The record is from RNAcentral. Lineage: Bacteria; Pseudomonadati; Pseudomonadota; Betaproteobacteria; Burkholderiales; Oxalobacteraceae.
UGGGAGUGCUCGAAAGAGAACCAUUACACAGGUGCUGCAUGGCUGUCGUCAGCUCGUGUCGUGAGAUGUUGGGUUAAGUCCCGCAACGAGCGCAACCCUUGUCAUUAGUUGCUACGAAAGGGCACUCUAAUGAGACUGCCGGUGACAAACCGGAGGAAGGUGGGGAUGACGUCAAGUCCUCAUGGCCCUUAUGGGUAGGGCUUCACACGUCAUACAAUGGUACAUACAGAGCGCCGCCAACCCGCGAGGGGGAGCUAAUCGCAGAAAGUGUAUCGUAGUCCGGAUUGUAGUCUGCAACUCGACUGCAUGAAGUUGGAAUCGCUAGUAAUCGCGGAUCAGCAUGUCGCGGUGAAUACGUUCCCGGGUCUUGUACACACCGCCCGUCACACCAUGGGAGCGGGUUUUACCAGAAGUAGGUAGCUUAACCG